AAAGUAUUUUCUGCCCAAUGAUUUUUAAUUAAAUGGCUGCAGUAUUUUGACUGUACAAAGGUAGCAUAAUAAUUAGUUUUUUAAUUGAGAACUGGAAUGAAUGGAUAUAUGAAAAAUAUGUUUUAUUUUUUAUAAUUUUAUAACUUUAUUUUUGAGUAAAAAAGCUUAAUUGUUUUUUAGGGACGAAAAGACCCUAUAGAACUUAUAUUAUUAUCAAAAUUUGAUUUUAUUUAGGUUUUAAUAAAUUAUUUUUGUAUAUAAUUUGGUUGGGGGGACAAAUAAAUUUUUUAACUUUAUUUUUUUUAUUCAUUAUUUUUAUGAUUUUUCUGAUCCUUACAAGAGAAUUAAGAUUAAGUUACCUUAGGGAUAACAGCGUAAUUUUAAUGGGGAGAUCUUAUUUAUAUUAAAGUUUGCGACCUCGAUGUUGAAUUAAGAAAAGUUUAAGGGGUAGGUUCUUUAAUUUCUAAGUCUGUUCGACUU
Molecule: ribosomal RNA, 480 nt
Filed under: Ujna puerana
Lineage: Eukaryota; Metazoa; Arthropoda; Insecta; Hemiptera; Cicadellidae
Description: partial large subunit ribosomal RNA
Source: RNAcentral